Molecule: transfer RNA, 33 nt
Filed under: Bombina bombina (fire-bellied toad)
Lineage: Eukaryota; Metazoa; Chordata; Amphibia; Anura; Bombinatoridae
Description: partial tRNA-Leu
Source: RNAcentral
CAAAAACUCUUGGUGCAAAUCCAAGUAAAAGUU